UCAAGUUACUUGAUGGCAUUUGCUCCAUGUGCUCAAACACAGUUACUGCAAGUUGGCCAAGUUUUUGUCGACGUUGCAGUUGAAAAAGGCCUGAAAAAGAAUGUGAUUCUCUGUUUUGUCUUGCUGUUACAGAUCUGGAGUUGGACCAGUUAAGUCUCAAGAGCCAGCAGUAAUAGAUCAGUGUAGUACCUUCCUGGAGAGCAUGAGCGUUGGCCAAAGGCAGUCAAUCACAGCACUGUUGUCGACCACGGAGCAAGAUCCCAACCAUGCAUCACCAAGUUUGUGCCCAAGGGCGUAGGCUGGACGGGUGCGGAUCCAGGGCGUUAUUUUAUUAAGGGUGUGGCAUCACUGAUACCUUACAGUUCUCCGUCAUCUUUCAACUCGGCGUCUUUGGCCGCUGCAGGCAAUGGCCACUUCCUCAGUUGGCAUGUCAACCCAACUGAAGCCCAACCACAUCUCUGCACUAAACUCUCAAGCCAUUUUCUUUCUGUUCUGAUGGCUUAUCUGAGGAAAGAAAAUCUACAGCACUGAUGCCUGACCGUUGCCUGCAUUUAAACAUCCCACAUGGUGGAGUUUCUUCCCUCGUCAACUUCCGUGCCUGCAGUACAAGGGAAUGUCCUGAUGCUGACACUAUAUGUUGGAAUCACAGAACAUGUACAUGACAGAUAUGUACACUACCAUUUGAGAGCAAUGUCUAUGAGUAUAUUAAGUCAUCUCAGAUCCCUGAUCAACUUUCUCAAGAGUGAUCAUCCAGCUGUUUCUACAUUUCUCGCUAAUGACUGACUGUUGCCUACAUUUAAACAUCCCCGUGGUGGACUUUCGUGGCUCGCCAACUUCGGUGCCUGCAGUACAAGGGAAUGUCCUGAUGCUGACUCUGUACGGCACAUGUUGCUAUCACAGAUCAUGUACACGACAGAUAUGUACACUACCAUUUGAGAGCAAUGUCUAUGGAUUCACUGUUUUGCAUUCUAUGUGGUUCCGUUGACUUACAUGCACCUUAAGCCAUCAUACAUGUAGAUCCCUGAUCGACUUUCUCAAGAGUGAUCGUCCGGUUGCUUCUACAUACCUGCACAAAAACAACAAUGAGGUCGGGUUGACGCCUGUCCACCGUGGUGUUUGGCUGGGCUUCCCUUCUCCAAUGUAGCCAGCGCAAACAGGGUGCUACCAAGCUCAAAGAUUAGAUUUGUAAACAAAAGUGUAGAAAUUAUCUUGAGAUGGUAAAGAUGGUGCUAGGUUGACUGUUUUAUUUGGAACAAUUUAGGCUUUUUGUUUGAAACAGGGAAUAUAAGUUUUUAGUUGAAGAUGCAUUUUUUGGCCAAAAAACUAGAUUGUAUGGACACCUAACACGGGUUUACAUGUAUUUUUGCCUCUUGAAAAAGAAAGUUAAGUGACACUUUCCAAAUGGCAUAGCUCAGCAAAUAAAAAACCUUCAUCCAAACAUCCAUUGAAAUCUUAAAUUCUUGAAAAACUGGAAAAAUUAGUUCAUAUCUUACUGGUUUCUAAACUGCUUUCCAUUUGUUUUCUGAACUUUCAAAAUUGUAUGCAUAAUUUUUGUCAAAGUGUAUGAAUUUCUUCAAAAUAAUUAUAAGCAGUUUCUGUAUUGCCCAUCAUAUUCCUGGAAAGUUUUAGCAAGAUAGAAUACGAUGCUAUAAUGUUAGAAUAAGAUGCUAUAAAGUUUUCUCCAAAUUAAAAACCUCAGAGGGCCUUACAUUUCAAUAUACAUUGUAAGUAGAAUCUUUCAUCUGACUUAGUAACAUGCACAUCAUAUUGAAUGAAUAUUUUUGAAGAAGUUUAAGUACAGAAAAGUUUGCAAAUAUAUUUUUUACCUACAUCGUACUGAAACACAGGCAAGGUCUGAAU
This 1860-nucleotide long non-coding RNA is filed under the name Acanthaster planci (crown-of-thorns starfish). Its description in RNAcentral is "uncharacterized LOC110988359, transcript variant X1". The record is from RNAcentral. Lineage: Eukaryota; Metazoa; Echinodermata; Asteroidea; Valvatida; Acanthasteridae.